RNAcentral lists this transfer RNA (68 nucleotides) under Marmota monax (woodchuck). Its description in RNAcentral is "tRNA.Ala". Lineage: Eukaryota; Metazoa; Chordata; Mammalia; Rodentia; Sciuridae. The record is from RNAcentral.
GGACUGUGGCUCAGUGGUAGAGUGCACACCUAGCACGGGCGAGACCCUGGGUUCAAUCCUUAGCACCA